UUUGCGUCGGACUGUGCACGAUCCUGGUGGUCCUCAUCGUCCUCCUCGGCGUCGCGACGCUCAUCACCUAUUUAGUCCUGCGUCCACGCACCACGCACUACGACAUCGUCUCCGCCAGAGUUCCUGCCCUGGCCGUUAGCGGCACCACAUCCAGUCCCACUUCCACGUCAACUGUCACUGCAGAAUUCACCUACGGGGUGCAAGCACGCAACCCCAACGGCAAGGUCGUCAUGGAGUAUCAGAAAUUCAACGUUCUCACCACGUACCUCGGCACAGACAUCGGCCACAGCAGCGUCCCCGGGUUCAUCCUCGGCGAAAAGGGCUCAUACGUAUUCCAAGUGACCACCUCUUCUGCCUACACAAAUGGUCAGGUUAAUAACAUCGUCGGCAACACAUUGAAGGCCGACAUCGCGAGCGGCUCCGUCAACGUGCAAGUUAAGAUUGACAUUAGGGCGCGAGCGCAUAUCGGUGGUUACACUUCCUUUUGGAUGUGGCUCCACACUCUUUGCCAGGUGACUGUCAUUCCUCCGUCAGGAAGCAACCCCGGAGUAUUUGUGCGGUCGAAAUGCUCGGAUUAGUGUUUCUCAUAGAUCUUAAUUUCUUGCCGUGCAAUACCAAUUUGGAGAUCAGCUUUAGAGAAUCAAACUGCCGAAUCAUGUACAGCAUCCCUCUCUAUUGCUCUUCGUUCACCUCGCGUCAGUAGACACCAUAGCUGUGAAAAUUCUGUACAGUUGCUGAAACGUCCAUCAACACAUUUUAUGAAGGUUUGCAGUGUUGUAACGAUCGGAUUCCAGAGCCAGAUGACGUCGUCGUCGUUUUGGGAAGGAUUCUGCUACUGGGCUGGCUGUCGAUCGAGUUAAAUGCUAGUUGAUUAAGCCAAAAUAGAAGUUGUUAUUGGUGGAACUUAGGAUCAAACCGUGGGUUGUCCAUCGUGGCCUGCGCAAUGUGAUUGUGUCUGCAAUCUUGUAAAAACGCUCGACACCCAACAGUGUGAAAAAUCUUAUUUGUACACCUACCACAUUCUCGUAUCGGUUCCUGCGAUGAGCAAAAGCGUGGACCCUUUCAAAAGCAUCACUAGAAAAAGUGACGACGAAACGGAAAGUGCAAAAUAAAUUCUAAUCUGCUGCUGGAGUUGUGAACCCUAACAAACGGAAUCAAUCAGUCAAUCAUAAUAAUAAUAAAAAUAUACUUGUGAGUUGGCGUGGAUGCCGCAAAGGGCGCCGCAGUGAUGUGGUUCAACGACAUUAUUUCUUCUCGGGAGGAGGAAAUUCAUUCGCGGUCCCACUCUCUCCGAAUCCCCGGAAGCAUUGGUUCGUCUCGAGGAUGUGUAUAUUUCCAUGUUCCUUAUGUUUCGUUAGCUUCUCCUUCUUCAAAUUGUCAUGUCCAAACUGUGAAUCCUGAGCUGUGCCGCUCAAACCCUAAUCGAUGGCAAAUGACUAGAGCAUGUGGUAGAUUUUUUACUUUGUUGUGGAACUUCUUUGGUGGUGAACUCACUCGGGUCCUUGCUUUGCUUCUACGAAAAGAAAUUGUUUUGUUAAGUUUGGAAUUGAAUAGUUUACAUUGUAUUUGGAAUAUUAUCAAGAUAAUAUAUUGAUCAAUUUAGAAAAAAAUUAUAGUAUUGAACACAAUCAAUUAAUGUUUAUUAUUUGCAAUGAAAAAUUGACGUCAGUCC
This 1672-nucleotide long non-coding RNA is filed under the name Physcomitrium patens. RNAcentral describes it as "long non-coding RNA (PPAT_LNC011535)". Lineage: Eukaryota; Viridiplantae; Streptophyta; Bryopsida; Funariales; Funariaceae. The record is from RNAcentral.